Long non-coding RNA from Gorilla gorilla gorilla (western lowland gorilla), 679 nucleotides. RefSeq lists it as uncharacterized. NCBI's taxonomy places the organism in Eukaryota, Metazoa, Chordata, Mammalia, Primates, Hominidae. The transcript is spliced from 3 exons. The record is from RefSeq and is a predicted model, not a curated record.
AUUCAAAGCUCGCAAUGCACCGUUCUGAAAACUCUCCAGCGUAGAAUUCAGGAACCCUGAGUUUUCUAUCUCUGUCUAGUUCUGGACUGAAUGGGCUCAAGUCAUCUAGUUAACCUUUCUGGAUCUCAGUCUUUUGAAAAGUGAAGCUAAGAGAUCUAGCAUUCUGCAGAAAAGUACUGGAGAUGACUCAGGACUGAAAAUGAUCAUGAAGCCCUUUGCAAAUAUCAAAGUGGUGAUGAAGCAGUCAUGAACUUUGACCAGAAGCCGUGUUUUGUGGGAUUGACGCUUUAAUCGCUCCUGUUCAUCAUUAGGACUGCAGCCAGAGUGUGGAAGGAGUGACAGCACAGAGGAAGAGAUGGUCCAAGACCAAAGAGGAAAGAAAUGGCAUAAGAUGGGGCAGUGUUCUAUGAUCUCUAACUGGCCAAAGAAAAAUGAGACACAAAUUUAAAAGAAGACAGUUGGAUGACUUAAACACCACCCCUGAGAGGCAGCUGUUUCCAGAAUAUUGCACAAUUUAUUGAGUUCAUGAGAAUUGUGAUCGUUGGCAUGACCGAACUUCACGGAGGGAAUCAUAGGCACUUUAAUUCCAAUUUGUUGACUUAUGGAGGAAGCAAUUUCUCCCAGUGGUGUCCCUUCAUCCAGGAACAAGAGCCAUCAAAGUGUCACAGACUUAGAGCCG